This 76-nucleotide transfer RNA is filed under the name Methanocaldococcus fervens AG86. RNAcentral's name for it is "tRNA-Ala". It matches the Rfam family "tRNA". Rfam says of the family: Transfer RNA (tRNA) molecules are approximately 80 nucleotides in length. Their secondary structure includes four short double-helical elements and three loops (D, anti-codon, and T loops). Lineage: Archaea; Methanobacteriati; Methanobacteriota; Methanococci; Methanococcales; Methanocaldococcaceae. The record is from RNAcentral. RNAcentral also lists the same sequence under 2 other names.
GGGCCCGUAGCUCAGCUGGGAGAGCGCCGGCCUUGCAAGCCGGAGGCCGUGGGUUCAAAUCCCACCGGGUCCACUA